Molecule: long non-coding RNA, 4758 nt
Organism: Dreissena polymorpha
Lineage: Eukaryota; Metazoa; Mollusca; Bivalvia; Myida; Dreissenidae
Exons: 3
Source: RefSeq, a predicted model, not a curated record
UGCAUAACAGGAUACCUUGCAUUAGAUCUAAUCACAAAAACAGCAACAUUGAUUUUAACUUUGUUAAAUUCAUAACAAUAUUUGAUCAGAAAUAUGAUUUAAAAUUAUUUCUUUCUCUCUAGACUCUUCGGAGAUUGUAGUGGAGUGUGUGUUGGUGUGAAUGUGUAUCACAUCUUUUCACGUACAUGUGGUCUAAGCCGAACAUAAUUGGCAUCCUCUCACUUCUCUUACUCAGUCUAUCGUCCUGCUGUAUGUAAGAUUGAUAAAUUCUCUGAAAUGUUUACAUGUAUAGGUGAAGGAAUUUAUAUACCAUUGCCUUUAUUUACCAAUGCAUGUCAUGAACACAGCCUCUGACCCACUACAGCCUACAAAACAAAACAUAACACGGAUCAUACGUAUCAAUCUACGGUCUGUGUGUCUUAAUUUGUAUCGAGCGCAUCGGGAUUGUAUCCCAUAUAGCCAUCGCCACAAGAAAGACGUGUAAGUUGGUUACAGGGGAUAGUGCAAGAUACAGGAGACGACCCCUUCCAGAGGUGACCCUGGGUCUUUUAGUGCCAGGCGUACAGCACCUAGUACAACGCACCUCUGUUUAACGUCUCAUGCGAAAGACGAGUUUUUCAAAACACAUGAAAAUGUUUUGUCAAAUACUCACAUUAACAACUGAAUGUUAAAGUAUAUAGAUCCUGGAAGUGUGAACAUAUUUUUAACACAUAAAAAAAAUUAAUGUCAAACUUGAAUCCGGCUUUGGUUAAACAUUGCGUUAUUUAAGUAUAUCCGAAAUCCGUUCUCUCCGAAAUAUAGCCAUAUAUCAUAUUUCUAUGUAUUGAGGUUAGACGUUAAAAGCAAGAAAAAUCAAUAUCGCCAAAAUAUUAAUUAUAAUAAAACGUACCGAUUUUCACAAUGUGAACUCCUUGCUCCGAAAAUAAAUUAAUUGUCCAUUUUAAAGAACACACUGGCUGCCGCCAUGAAUCAUGUAUGCCUGACCCAAUAAAAAGCGUCAGGGGUAGGUAAUCCAGACUAUACGUCUUUGUACUUUUUUCCAGUGGAUUUAUUUGAACUUUUGUAUGUGGGUCCCAGACAGUUGGGGAGUAUUCUAAUGUAGGCCUAACUAUUGAUUUGUAAGCCAAAUCAUUAACUUUUGAUGACCUAAUUUUUAAGUUGCGUCGAAAAAAUACUAGUGCCUGGUUUGCAUGAUUACCUGUUGUUAAUAUGUUUAUCCCAUUUGAGGUCCCUUUGGAGCGUAAGACCUAGUUAUUUCGCGUGAUUUACUUUUUAAAAGAUGUGCUCAUGAAGAUUAUAUGAAAAGAUGUUAGGUUUUCUUUUUUGCGUAAUACUGAGGAUGAUGCAUUUUCAGGGUGGAAUUUCGUAAUUCUGUCCUGUUCACAUUGACCAGCAGCUUUAAUAUCUACCUGGAGGUAUCGGGCGUCGGAAAAGUUGUCGAUAUUUUUGUAGAUGAUGACCAUCUGGAACAAUUCUUAGAGAGCUAUGUUUCAUGUAUUCAGCAACGGCAUUUAUAUAGACGGAACUAAGAUGGGCCCCAAGACAGUUCCCUGUGCUACUCCGAAGGUUACAGGUACCUUGUAUGACAUGGUUCCCUCCAGGCAGCAGCAUAGGUUCUAUAGUGACCAUGUCGUAUUUUACCAUACUUUAUAAUAAUUAUGUCGGUCGAGUUCACUCCACCUUUAAAUGAUACGAGACCGGUAUCUACGCUCGAGCGAUCAUUUCUAUUGUUAAUUUAACUUUGUUGUUAGUUUAAAUUGAUUGGUUAGUAACUUGUGUAGGUAUCCUCGAGGAGUUAUCCUCGAGGAGUGUAGUGAUGUAUAAAUCAUAUUGACCACGGAGUUCAGAGCGGGAAGACGCAUUCUUCAGGCAUUUAUUUCACGUACAGAAUUCGUUAGUUUUAUCUACUUUCUUAAACAGUUUCACCAAUGGACGAACGAGACAUGAUUGUGUGAGUGAAGAGAAAGUAUUCAGAACCACAUUUUGAUUGCGGAAUCUCUUUCCUCAGGAGUUACUUCAGUAUUGCGUUAUAACGUUUAUGAUCUGUGGUGAACUAGUUAAAUAUUUAAAAUACAUAUAUAUAGCUUUAAUCUUCCCCCCUGAACUCUGGGUUACACUAUUUGAUAGGAAGUCAGAAAUCCAGAAGAAAGCAUUUGUGUUAAUUCCAUAGUAUUUAAGUUUGUAUAAGAUGUGAGUUACUUUAUCGAAAGCUUUAGCAAAAUCCACAAUGAUGAUGUCAGUUUGUAUACCUUGAUUAUUUGAAUGGGUUAGGUUUUGGAUGAAUGAUAUCAGUUGUCAUUCGCAAGAAGGGUAAGAUCUAAACCCGUGUUGGAGGUCAUAUAAAAUACUAUUAUAUACUAUUGUACACAAUAUAUUAUUUUAUCCAGGUGAGACGUGAUAGGCUAGCGAUGACAUGUUCAAUUAUUUUACUGUAAAUGCAUGUAGGUGAUGCGAUAUUAGCCUUUAAUUUAUAGCAUUAUGUUUGUCUCCUUUUUUAUACAGUUGGCAUACAUGUAAUUGUAUAUUUCCAAUCAGAUGUAUUUUUUUCAAAAUACAUGCAGAGACUUUUAAAAGAUUACAUUGCUGUCCAAUUGAUUGUCCGAUACUAAUAAUGUUGCAAUUAAUAUGAGUGUUACGUGUGUAGGGGCAAAAUGUUCAUUUGUCUCGAAUGACAAUAGUAAAUCAUCCCUUAUUAAUUAUGUAUGCAUGCCUGUAGAAAAUAUGGACAAUGUUAUACAUUGCAAAAUUAUUAAUGAUGAUUGUUUCUAAUCACAUACCGGUGCUGGUGAAAUUACUUAUACCGGUGUAUGAAAGCAAUGACCCAUUUAUAUACUAGAAUGUUCCAAGAAUAAAAUGGAAAACGCAGACUAGACAUGAACAAGGCCAAUAUCUGGUUUCUCCAGAAGACGAUGGUACUCUUCGAGAACUUCAAUUUCAAGCACUAGAUAAAUCCGAAAUCGACGGUGCGUAUCGAACUCUUACUAGUUCUCCUCACUCUGCCUCCAAGAUAUUACCCGUGACGUGAAAUGAGCCGCGAAUGGCCUGGUCAAGGCCAUCCGCGUAACUCAAGUAAUAAACAAUACAAACAAUACAAACAUGCAAAAGCUGACUUCCGGAGACUCUACCGGUUGCACUCAAACCAGAUCAUGCUACAACUAGACCAGGAUCUCAACAAGGCGGCUGAAAUGGACAGCAAAACAUUCUGGAAAAUUGUUAACUCCAGAAAGUAUAAAAUGCGACGUACGAAAGUGCUGGAAUUAAUAUUAAUAACAAGAUAUAGAGGAGCGCACACGAACCUAUCGAGCAAUUGGGUAACUAUUCCAAAAUGCUAUACACCCCGUCAGAUAACCCUACAUUUGAUAACAAAUGGAAACAACGCGUCGAAAUUAGGGUACAAAUUGUAAUGUCGACGAUUGAAGCCAUCAAAGACUGUCCAAUCGGUAAAGCCGCCGGAUGUGACACCAUAUGCUAAGAACAUUUACUUCUUGCGGUAAAUAUCCGUUCGCCCAUCAUAGCAAACGUUUUCUUAGAUAUGUUGCGAAAAGUUUAUGUCCCAGAAGAAAUGAAAAGGGUGUGAUAAUAACACUUCAUAAGGACGAUAAAAUCGCAAAGACGACUCAAACAACUAUCGAGCUAUAUCCCUGACUUCCUCUUUGUUGAAACGAUAAUUCUGCAACGCUGCAAGAACCAACAUACUUCGCUGCUUAAUGAGCAGAAGGACGGUUUACCAGAAGCAACUCAAUUUCUUAAUGACGUCAUUUAUGAUGCGCGAAAGUGUGUUUUACGCCCGUGAAUACAAAAGCAGCGUAUUAUACUUCUGCUUCCUGGACUGUCGCUAGGCUUUCGACCGGGUCUGGAACGAUGGCCUUAUUUACAAGUUGACUGAUGCCGGCUUGGACGCCACCAUGCUUCUUAAUAGAGCCUAAAUGUACCGGAACAUCACAAGUUGCGUUAGGCAAAAUUAAACAGAGGACCAAGCAGGAAAGCAAAACAUCACCGAUCCUGUAUCUCACUUUCAUUAGCGACCUUAUUAAAGAACUAACGGAUAGUGGUUACGGUUUAAUGUAUGUUCUAUGUGAACAUUUGUGCAACGACCGUUGCGGAUGAUAUGAUUCAGGUAUCAUUUUCCCGCCAUGGGCUACAAUGCAUGAUAUCAAUUUGUACCCUUCGCAGUUGCUGUUCGAGUAUAACUCCGACAAGUGUGGCCUUUAAUGACAGUGUAAGGUCUUGUCGCGAAAGAAAGUGGAAUAUGGGAACACAGGCACUAUAUGAAGUAUAGGUGUACAACCACCAAGGCCACAUACAUAUGCGACGAGCCACUUUCUUCAACCAAAUUACUGAACGGCGCUAGCAUCAAACUGCGAGGAACAUUCCUAAACAUACUAAAGGAGGUUAAAACCCACUUACACUUGAAACGUUAUACCAAACAGUGGUUAUACCUAAAACACACUACGGAUUUAAACUCUGGAAUACAGACACGCCUACGGACAUUUGCCCACAGGCUUUGGUUAAACACAUACAGUAAUUGAAACUAUCUACCAGUACUGACGUUUCACUCGCAGUGUUAGAUGUUGAAACGCUCGAAACAUAUGUUGACGCAAGAAAACUUUUAAAGUUAUGCAGUCUUCCUUGUAGAUACUUGGACAAGCAUGUCUUCCUGAAUAGACUGACGCGAUUUUUUAACUUUUUAACAAUGAUUUUCAAUGCUAAGGAUUUAUGCAGGGUAUAUUUAUAGGUUACUUCAUAAGUACAAUCUAA